GCUCGCUCCUUGACGGCUGACCGACACUGGGUCUGAGGUGUAAGCGCUUUCCAGGCCCUUCCCUGGGGCUUGGAGGGGAAUGGCGCAAAGGACUUUUCUUACAAGCAGAGAGGUUGGACUCCUGAAAGCCUGGACAGUGUCAUCAUCUUCACCUGAAGAGUGGAAAAAUUCAAGCAAAGAGUUUCUCAGGAAAUGACCAAGUAAAACAUCUGGAGUAAGUCAGCAGGAUUCACAGUGACUCCCCCCAACCAGCUGGUGGUGUUUCUCUCUGAAAGCAGCGCUUGGUACCAGUGUGAACUCUCUUCCUUCAGAAGUCUCAUCAGGUGGACGUAAUACGAGGGUCUGGUCCCCCAUACCUUGAGGACUCCGCUGCCAUCUGACAAUUACAGACAAUCCAAUUGUCCUCAUCCUUGAGGACUCUGCUGCCAUCUGACAAUUAGAGACAGUCCAAAACAUGCCACACUUUGAUCCUAAACACAUUCCUGGCUUUGGUCACUUUUGAAAAGUUCCUGAGUUAUGAGAAAUCAAUAAUAAGAGUGUUCAAAACCUGAACACUCUUUUUAGAAAUACCUGCUGGAACUACAUAUAUGAUUUAUGGGGUACUGUCUUGUAGUAUCUGGGAAAGUAGACCCAUCUAACCUGGAAUGAUCAUAGGCAACAAUGACCAAAAAUGGGGAUCUUUUGAUAUACCUAAAGUAAUUUAUUUGUGCACACCAUUGGAAAGAGCUGGUUUUAGAACCAGACAUGUAAAUAAGAGACUGACUUCCACUGGCACCUAAAAACUUCUAAAAGAAAUCCUGAAAGAAAAAGUCACCUUCAUUCAAGAGGUAAACAAAGGGAUAUUUGAAACUAUGUUAAAAGACUUCAGAGGCUUUCUCCCUUUCACCUCCAGACCCUCCUUUUCCUUCCAGCCCUGUGAUCUGAACUCAUCCCUUUCUGCCGCUUCUCUUGGCUUCCAUACAUCUCUUAGGCAGAGAUGUUUUAAAAUUUCACAAUGUACACAUUUCCUUCUCUCAGGGGAAAUGAAUUUAAAUUUAGAGCAGAAGGAACAAGCAGAACAACAACAGAAUGGGAAUAAGACUGCUGAGACUAUAAAAAUGCAGAUCCAACAAAAUUUUUUCUCACCAGGUCUAGUGAAUGACACUGUGAUAUGGUCUGGCUCUGUGUUCCCAACAAAAUGUCAUCUCGAAUUGUAAUCCCCACGUGUCGGGGGAGAAGCCUGGUGGGAGAUGAUUGGAUCAUGGAGGCAGUUUCCCCCAUGCUGUUUUCAUGAUAGGGAGGGAGUUCUUACGAGAUGUGAUGGUUUAAAAGUGUUUGGCAGUGGCCGGGCGCGGUGGCUCACGCCUGUA
Molecule: long non-coding RNA, 1349 nt
Filed under: Homo sapiens (human)
Lineage: Eukaryota; Metazoa; Chordata; Mammalia; Primates; Hominidae
Description: HSALNT0343472
Source: RNAcentral